RNAcentral lists this ribosomal RNA (251 nucleotides) under uncultured bacterium. RNAcentral's name for it is "partial 16S ribosomal RNA". It matches the Rfam family "Bacterial small subunit ribosomal RNA", at positions 524 to 774 of the family's 1533-position model. The record is from RNAcentral.
UACGUAGGGUGCAAGCGUUAAUCGGAAUUACUGGGCGUAAAGCGUGCGCAGGCGGUUUUGUAAGUCUGUCGUGAAAUCCCCGGGCUCAACCUGGGAAUUCGCGAUGGAGACUGCAAGGCUAGAAUCUGGCAGAGGGGGGUAGAAUUCCACGUGUAGCAGUGAAAUGCGUAGAGAUGUGGAGGAACACCGAUGGCGAAGGCAGCCCCUGGGUCAAGAUUGACGCUCAUGCACGAAAGCGUGGGGAGCAACAG